CCCAAUCCCAGAUGCAAUCUGCUGAAAAGCCAUUUAAAAGCAAAAAUAUCAUAAAUAAAACAACUCCAAAUCUAUUGAAAAUAAAUAAAUCUUUAUUAUUUGCUAUAGAGACAAUCCCUCAUGCAUCCCAAAAUAAAGAUAAACAAAAUCUGAUUAAAAAGAAGCUCCCCAUUAGCAGGAAGUAGCCACAUAUGGAAAUAAAUCAGUUAGUAACAAUAAAUCAUUUUGGAAAACAAUAUAAUUAAACAUCUGUGGUAAAAUAAAUGUCUGUUUCAUCUUAUAAUUACAAAUCCAGCAGGAAAAUACAACAUUAUAAUCCUCACAUUUGAAAUAUAAUAUACUCAUAAAUACACAAUGAUUCUGUCCAAAAGUAUGAGCGGGAACAAUAGGCUCUAUUGACAGUUCUACCAGAGUCUAUCAGAUGAGAUAGACGGUGCAUUCUACUCUCCAGUUCAAGACAGAAGUCUCUCUUUUACAGUAUCUCUUUCCUCAUUCCUUUAAAGAAAAUAUAUCAGGACAAAUACAUUUAGUGGUUUUAACAUCUGUUUAAGAUAAGAAAUACAGUUAGGAAUGUGAACUUUGUUUGUUUUUCACGUGAGACAGUUUUCUAACAAAAACGCGUACAUCUGGGUCGGAUUCAUUAACCACCAAACGGAGGAAAAUGGACUGAAACAGGGAGAGACUUACUGGACUUAUUAGUCCAAUAAGAAACUCUCAUUUAGUUGAAAAAUGCUUUUAAACGUUUUCCAUUGUUACCCUAAUGAACACGACCCAGGACAAAAGUGUGGAAUUAAUAUAAUGCAUACACUUGUCUUCAAGUGGUGCGUUUCAAAAACAGUAGUUUCUACUAUUGAUCUUUUCAAGUUCAGAGACAGUGAAAUGUAUUGCACAGUUAGUUCUAGACCUGGGUGCAAAUACUUUAUCGGAGCAUGCCUGGAUUAAUUCACUAAUAUAAUAGUCCCAAAACAGUAAACCCCACCUAUUUGACCCUCCUGGCAGGCAAGAGAAAAUGCUCAAAGUACUUCAAAGAUUUCAAAUAGUAUUUGAACCCAGGUCUGGUUCAUUCCUCAUAGAGGUUGCAUUAGAAGAGGGCAUGGUCAUUUACAGCAGACACUAAACUCCCAUACAACCAUUAUCAUCAACCAGGCCUUAAGUCUCCUCAACCUUGGUCAUCUUACACCUUCAGGACAAGACAUGCACUCUGACCCACAUCUACGUGCUUAAAUACAACCCAUACACAACGUCAGAAUCAAGGCAUAGGCCUAACGUAAGAUAACGUCACAAACAGCCAGGGUGAGAAAAAAAAUCAUAGAAUUAACCUUAAACACAUUUUUGCAUGUCAAAAUUAUUUCAUUUUGGGUUAAUGUUCAUGAUUAUUUAACAACAUAGUUAGUCUUCAGCAAAAUAAACACACCAAGUAACAUUCUGUUUGAAAUUGGACCGUUAAGACAGAAGAAGAGUUCACUAUAAAAGCAAAUAUAUAGCAUCAUUUGUGUCUCCCAGGUCACCAGGCAUGUGGGUGUUAAGGUACCAUCCACCGUCACACUCUCUGAAGUAGAAACCAUAGAAAUAUAAUUCUAUUCCUACGGUAGAAACACAGUGUUAACGCAUCUGACAUUAUCUCUGUAAAUAGUUGAAACAGUGUUAAGGGGUUGUUGGGCUGUUCAGUGCAUGGCUUCACCAGUGUUCAGGUUGGGGAGACUACACCAGGCCUCAUCAGUGUUCAACUGCAAGAGAAAACAACAACAUUCUUUUAGAAAUAGA
This is a long non-coding RNA of Oncorhynchus tshawytscha (Chinook salmon), 1764 nucleotides long. NCBI's taxonomy places the organism in Eukaryota, Metazoa, Chordata, Actinopteri, Salmoniformes, Salmonidae. The record is from Ensembl.